This 477-nucleotide ribosomal RNA is filed under the name uncultured bacterium. RNAcentral describes it as "bacterial SSU rRNA". It matches the Rfam family "Bacterial small subunit ribosomal RNA", at positions 28 to 532 of the family's 1533-position model. The record is from RNAcentral.
GACGAACGCUGACGGCGUGCCUAACACAUGCAAGUCAAGGGGCCUUCGGGUCACUGGCGCACGGGUGAGUAACGCGUAGAUUAUCUACCCAUAUCUCUGACAUAACUGCUGGAAACGGUAGCUAAUAUCAGAUGAGGCCUACGGGUCAAAGUUUUAAUGGAUAUGGAUGAGUCUGCGUCUGAUUAGCUAGUUGGUAGUGUAAUGGACUACCAAGGCUACGAUCAGUAACUGGUCUGAGAGGACGAUCAGUCACACUGGAACUGAGACACGGUCCAGACUCCUACGGGAGGCAGCAGUGAGGAAUAUUGCGCAAUGGGCGAAAGCCUGACGCAGCCACGCCGCGUGUGCGAUGAAGGUCUUCGGAUCGUAAAGCACUGUGGGGGGAGAAGAACAAAGCCGGUGAAGAGCCGGCCCUGACGGUAUCCCCUUAGCAAGCACCGGCUAACUCCGUGCCAGCAGCCGCGGUAAUGUAGACGU